RNAcentral lists this ribosomal RNA (270 nucleotides) under uncultured bacterium. Its description in RNAcentral is "partial 16S ribosomal RNA". It matches the Rfam family "Bacterial small subunit ribosomal RNA", at positions 91 to 354 of the family's 1533-position model. The record is from RNAcentral.
UUGAGUGGCGAACGGGUGAGUAACACGUGGGCAACCUGCCCAAAAGAGGGGGAUAACACUUGGAAACAGGUGCUAAUACCGCAUAACCAUAGUUACCGCAUGGUAACUAUGUAAAAGGUGGCUAUACUACCGCUUUUGGAUGGGCCCGCGGCGCAUUAGCUAGUUGGUAGGGUAAAGGCUUACCCAAGGCAAUGAUGCGUAGCCGAAUUGAGAGGUUGAUCGGCCACAUUGGGACUGAGACACGGCCCAAACUCCUACGGAAGGCAGCAG